This 200-nucleotide long non-coding RNA is filed under the name Elaeis guineensis (African oil palm). RNAcentral's name for it is "long non-coding RNA (EGUI_LNC066590)". The record is from RNAcentral. Lineage: Eukaryota; Viridiplantae; Streptophyta; Magnoliopsida; Arecales; Arecaceae.
CAUUAGUAAAUAAUUUAUUACAAUCUUUGUAUAGGAUUAAUCAUCAAUUAAAUUGAUAAUUAAACCCUUCAAUGAUUCAUAAUCGGCGAUCAGCUAUUUGAUCAGAUAGGUACUUCUAUGUGUGUGACCCCAUAGGUUCGAACCUAAAUUGAUAGCACAAGAAUAAUUCUUGUACUAAUUGAUGUAACUAUUUAGCAAUG